UUUUGGUAACGAAAGUUUUAAUAGGGAAAACAGUAAAAGCUGUUACAGCCCCCGCUACUGUGAAAGGUGAUGGCACUUAAAUCCACUGUGCACGCAUGGGAAGGAAAGUGCUAAAUGAGCCGAUAGUCAGGAGACCUGCCAAUUUUUAU
Molecule: non-coding RNA, 149 nt
Filed under: uncultured Sedimentibacter sp.
Lineage: Bacteria; Bacillati; Bacillota; Tissierellia
Source: RNAcentral